RNAcentral lists this ribosomal RNA (482 nucleotides) under uncultured bacterium. RNAcentral's name for it is "bacterial SSU rRNA". It matches the Rfam family "Bacterial small subunit ribosomal RNA", at positions 29 to 506 of the family's 1533-position model. The record is from RNAcentral.
UUGAACGCUGGCGGCAUGCUUUACACAUGCAAGUCGAACGGCAGCGGGGGCUUCGGCCUGCCGGCGAGUGGCGAACGGGUGAGUAAUGCAUCGGAACGCGUCCUGUAAUGGGGGAUAACCUGGCGAAAGCCAGGCUAAUACCGCAUACGUCCUGAGGGAGAAAGCGGGGGAUCGCAAGACCUCGCGUUAUAGGAGCGGCCGAUGUCGGAUUAGCUAGUUGGUGGGGUAAAGGCCUACCAAGGCGACGAUCCGUAGCGGGUCUGAGAGGACGGCCCGCCACACUGGGACUGAGACACGGCCCAGACUCCUACGGGAGGCAGCAGUGGGGAAUUUUGGACAAUGGGCGCAAGCCUGAUCCAGCCAUUCCGCGUGAGUGAAGAAGGCCUUCGGGUUGUAAAGCUCUUUCGGCCGGGAAGAAAUCGCAUCCUCUAAUACGGGGUGUGGAUGACGGUACCGGAAGAAGAAGCACCGGCUAACUACGU